RNAcentral lists this transfer RNA (73 nucleotides) under Monodelphis domestica (gray short-tailed opossum). It matches the Rfam family "tRNA". Rfam says of the family: Transfer RNA (tRNA) molecules are approximately 80 nucleotides in length. Lineage: Eukaryota; Metazoa; Chordata; Mammalia; Didelphimorphia; Didelphidae. The record is from Rfam by way of RNAcentral.
GGCUGGGUAGCUCAAUGGAUAGAGAGCCAAGCCUAGAGGUGGGAGGUCCUAGGUUCGAAUCCAGCCUCAGCCA